Molecule: non-coding RNA, 102 nt
Filed under: Streptomyces griseoaurantiacus
Lineage: Bacteria; Bacillati; Actinomycetota; Actinomycetes; Kitasatosporales; Streptomycetaceae
Also listed under: 1 other name
Description: Glycine sequence
Rfam family: Glycine riboswitch aptamer
About the family: This family represents the bacterial glycine riboswitch. Glycine riboswitches usually consist of two metabolite-binding aptamers domains with similar structures in tandem. The aptamers cooperatively bind glycine to regulate the expression of downstream genes.
Source: RNAcentral
CGAAUCCGCGCGGGAGAGUCCCCGGCCCGAGGGCUGUGACCGGGGCGCCGAAGGAGCAAGCACUCCCUUGAAUCUCUCAGGCCCAGUUACCGCGCGGGCGAG